CAAGCCACAACAAAUGGAGAUAUUACACUUGAAGAUCCUAGAGGAGGCUGUCAGGGGUAGUGAUCAUGAAGAGACUCAUGGAUCUGAGAUGAUUCCUAGGCUGAGUGAGAAAGCGUAUGAAUGUUCAUUCCACAUUCAGGCGUUUGGCACACGCAACAUA
Molecule: long non-coding RNA, 160 nt
Organism: Hypomesus transpacificus
Lineage: Eukaryota; Metazoa; Chordata; Actinopteri; Osmeriformes; Osmeridae
Exons: 4
Source: RefSeq, a predicted model, not a curated record